RNAcentral lists this ribosomal RNA (484 nucleotides) under uncultured bacterium. RNAcentral's name for it is "bacterial SSU rRNA". It matches the Rfam family "Bacterial small subunit ribosomal RNA", at positions 28 to 500 of the family's 1533-position model. The record is from RNAcentral.
GAUGAACGCUAGCGGCAGGCUUAACACAUGCAAGUCGAGGGGCAUCGAGAGUAGCAAUACUUGUCGGCGACCGGCGCAAGGGUGCGUAACACGUGAGCAACAUACCCGUUUCAGGAGGAUAACCGGAGGAAACUCUGCCUAAUACUCCAUGACAUCAUCAAACGGCAUCGUUUGAUGAUUAAAGAUUUAUCGGAAACGGCUUGGCUCGCGGGACAUUAGCUCGUUGGUGAGGUAACGGCUCACCAAGGCCACGAUGUCUAGGGGUUCUGAGAGGAAGGUCCCCCACACUGGAACUGAGACACGGUCCAGACUCCUACGGGAGGCAGCAGUGAGGAAUAUUGGACAAUGGUCGGAAGACUGAUCCAGCCAAUGCCGCGUGAAAGGUUACUGUCCUAAUGGAUAUUAAAACUUCUUUUGUAUGAGAGCAAAUAAAGGUGCACGCGUGCACCGAUGAGAGUAAUCAAUACGAAUAAGCAUCGGCUAA